RNAcentral lists this ribosomal RNA (403 nucleotides) under uncultured eukaryote. RNAcentral's name for it is "bacterial SSU rRNA". It matches the Rfam family "Eukaryotic small subunit ribosomal RNA", at positions 334 to 736 of the family's 1831-position model. The record is from RNAcentral.
UAGAGGCCCGCCGCGGUAACGACGGGUAACGGGGAAUCAGGGUUCGAUUCCGGAGAGGGAGCCCGAGAAACGGCUACCACUCCAAGGAAGGCAGCAGGCGCGCAACUUACCCUAAUCUCGAUUCGAGGAGGUAGUGACAAGAAAUACCGAUGCGGGACCCCUACGGGUGCCGCGUUCGGAAUGAGUACGAUUCGAACCACCUAACGAGGAACGAUCGGAGGGCAAGUCUGGUGCCAGCAGCCGCGGUAAUUCCAGCUCCAAUAGCGUACGUUAAAGUUGCUGCAGUUAAAAAGCUCGUAGUUGAACGUUCGGGUUCCGCGGGACGGGGCCGCCCCGCGAGGGACGGCGCCGCCCCGGGGCUCGUGAUAUCUCAUCUCGCCGCCCGUCGCGAGGCGGACGGAGG